AUACGGAGGAUCCGAGCGUUAUCCGGAUUUAUUGGGUUUAAAGGGUGCGUAGGCGGCACUUUAAGUCAGGGGUGAAAGACGGCAGCUCAACUGUCGCAGUGCCCUUGAUACUGAAGUGCUUGAAUGCGGUUGAAGACGGCGGAAUGAGACAAGUAGCGGUGAAAUGCAUAGAUAUGUCUCAGAACACCGAUUGCGAAGGCAGCUGUCUAGGCCGUUAUUGACGCUGAUGCACGAAAGCGUGGGGAUCGAACAGGAUUAGAUACCCUGGUAGCCCACGCCCUAAACGAUGAUGACUCGAUGUUUGCGAUAUACCGUAAGCGUCCAAGCGAAAGCGUUAAGUCAUCCACCUGGGGAGUACGCCCGCAAGGGUGAA
RNAcentral lists this ribosomal RNA (373 nucleotides) under uncultured bacterium. RNAcentral describes it as "bacterial SSU rRNA". It matches the Rfam family "Bacterial small subunit ribosomal RNA", at positions 523 to 898 of the family's 1533-position model. The record is from RNAcentral.